This 253-nucleotide ribosomal RNA is filed under the name uncultured bacterium. Its description in RNAcentral is "partial 16S ribosomal RNA". It matches the Rfam family "Bacterial small subunit ribosomal RNA", at positions 524 to 776 of the family's 1533-position model. The record is from RNAcentral.
UACGAAGGGGGCUAGCGUUGCUCGGAAUCACUGGGCGUAAAGCGCGCGUAGGCGGCGUUUUAAGUCAGGGGUGAAAUCCUGGAGCUCAACUCCAGAACUGCCUUUGAUACUGAGAAGCUUGAGUCCGGGAGAGGUGAGUGGAACUGCGAGUGUAGAGGUGAAAUUCGUAGAUAUUCGCAAGAACACCAGUGGCGAAGGCGGCUCACUGGCCCGGUACUGACGCUGAGGUGCGAAAGCGUGGGGAGCAAACAGG